GAGUUUGAUCUUGGCUCAGAUUGAACGCUGGCGGCAGGCCUAACACAUGCAAGUCGAGCGGUAGAGAGAAGCUUGCUUCUCUUGAGAGGCGGCGGACGGGUGAGUAAUGCCUAGGAAUCUGCCUGGUAGUGGGGGAUAACGCUCGGAAACGGACGCUAAUACCGCAUACGUCCUACGGGAGAAAGCAGGGGACCUUCGGGCCUUGCGCUAUCAGAUGAGCCUAGGUCGGAUUAGCUAGUUGGUGAGGUAAUGGCUCACCAAGGCGACGAUCCGUAACUGGUCUGAGAGGAUGAUCAGUCACACUGGAACUGAGACACGGUCCAGACUCCUACGGGAGGCAGCAGUGGGGAAUAUUGGACAAUGGGCGAAAGCCUGAUCCAGCCAUGCCGCGUGUGUGAAGAAGGUCUUCGGAUUGUAAAGCAC
Molecule: ribosomal RNA, 423 nt
Filed under: uncultured bacterium
Lineage: Bacteria
Description: bacterial SSU rRNA
Rfam family: Bacterial small subunit ribosomal RNA
Source: RNAcentral